UACGUAGGGAGCAAGCGUUGUCCGGAAUCAUUGGGCGUAAAGCGCGCGUAGGUGGCUUCGUAAGUCCGUUGUGAAAGUCAAAGGCUCAACCUUUGAAAGCCGAUGGAUACUGUGAAGCUAGAGUACGGAAGAGGCGAGUGGAAUUCCUGGUGUAGCGGUGAAAUGCGUAGAUAUCAGGAGGAACACCGGUGGCGAAGGCGGCCCUCUGGACGGUGACUGACGCUGAGACGCGAAAGCGUGGGGAGCAAACAGG
RNAcentral lists this ribosomal RNA (253 nucleotides) under uncultured bacterium. Its description in RNAcentral is "partial 16S ribosomal RNA". It matches the Rfam family "Bacterial small subunit ribosomal RNA", at positions 524 to 776 of the family's 1533-position model. The record is from RNAcentral.